This 253-nucleotide ribosomal RNA is filed under the name uncultured bacterium. Its description in RNAcentral is "partial 16S ribosomal RNA". It matches the Rfam family "Bacterial small subunit ribosomal RNA", at positions 524 to 776 of the family's 1533-position model. The record is from RNAcentral.
UACGGAGGGUGCAAGCGUUGUUCGGAAUUACUGGGCGUAAAGAGCACGUAGGCGGGUUCGUAAGUCGAUUGUGAAAGCCCCGGGCUCAAUCCGGGAAUUGCAGUCGAAACUACGAGUCUUGAAUACCUGAGAGGGUGACGGAAUUCCUGGUGUAGAAGUGAAAUUCGUAGAUAUCAGGAGGAACACCGGAGGCGAAGGCGGUUGCCUGGCAGUGUAUUGACGCUGAGGUGCGAAAGCGUGGGGAGCAAACAGG